CUCGGAAUUACUGGGCGUAAAGCGUGCGUAGGUGGUUCGUUAAGUCUGAUGUGAAAGCCCUGGGCUCAACCCCGGGAGGCCAGGAGAUACUGCUGGGCUUGAGAGAGGCAGAGGCGAGUGGAAUUCCGGGUGUAGCGGUGGAAUGCGUAGAGAUCCGGAGGAACACCGGAGGCGAAGGCGGCUCGCUGGGCCUGUUCUGACGCUGAGGCGCGAAAGCGUGGGGAGCGAACAG
This 232-nucleotide ribosomal RNA is filed under the name uncultured bacterium. RNAcentral's name for it is "partial 16S ribosomal RNA". It matches the Rfam family "Bacterial small subunit ribosomal RNA", at positions 544 to 775 of the family's 1533-position model. The record is from RNAcentral.